This 741-nucleotide ribosomal RNA is filed under the name uncultured Enterobacteriaceae bacterium. Its description in RNAcentral is "bacterial SSU rRNA". It matches the Rfam family "Bacterial small subunit ribosomal RNA", at positions 1 to 757 of the family's 1533-position model. Lineage: Bacteria; Pseudomonadati; Pseudomonadota; Gammaproteobacteria; Enterobacterales; Enterobacteriaceae. The record is from RNAcentral.
UCGGCUUAGAGUUUGAUCAUGGCUCAGAUUGAACGCUGGCGGCAGGCCUAACACAUGCAAGUCGAGCGGUAAGGGAGCUUGCUCCUGACGAGCGGCGGACGGGUGAGUAAUGUCUGGGAAACUGCCUGAUGGAGGGGGAUAACUACUGGAAACGGUAGCUAAUACCGCAUAACGUCGCAAGACCAAAGAGGUUCGUCUUGCCAUCAGAUGUGCCCAGAUGGGAUUAGCUAGUAGGUGGGGUAACGGCUCACCUAGGCGACGAUCCCUAGCUGGUCUGAGAGGAUGACCAGCCACACUGGAACUGAGACACGGUCCAGACUCCUACGGGAGGCAGCAGUGGGGAAUAUUGCACAAUGGGCGCAAGCCUGAUGCAGCCAUGCCGCGUGUAUGAAGAAGGCCUUCGGGUUGUAAAGUACUUUCAGCGAGGAGGAAGGCGUCGUACUAAUGUACGGUGUUGACGUUACUCGCAGAAGAAGCACCGGCUAACUCCGUGCCAGCAGCCGCGGUAAUACGGAGGGUGCAAGCGUUAAUCGGAAUUACUGGGCGUAAAGCGCACGCAGGCGGUUUGUCAUGUCGGAUGUGAAAUCCCCGGGCUCAACCUGGGAACUGCAUUCGAAACGGGCAAGCUAGAGUCUUGUAGAGGGGGGUAGAAUUCCAGGUGUAGCGGUGAAAUGCGUAGAGAUCUGGAGGAAUACCGGUGGCGAAGGCGGCCCCCUGGACAAGACUGACGCUCAGUGCGAA